GCCUCGCUGGCUCAGUUGGUAGAGCAUCUGAAUCUUGAUCUCUGGGUCAUGAGUUCGAGCCCCAUGUCAGGCA
Molecule: transfer RNA, 73 nt
Filed under: Felis catus (domestic cat)
Lineage: Eukaryota; Metazoa; Chordata; Mammalia; Carnivora; Felidae
Also listed under: 5 other names
Rfam family: tRNA
About the family: Transfer RNA (tRNA) molecules are approximately 80 nucleotides in length. Their secondary structure includes four short double-helical elements and three loops (D, anti-codon, and T loops).
Source: Rfam by way of RNAcentral